CCUACGGGUGGCAGCAGUGAGGAAUAUUGGUCAAUGGGCGUAAGCCUGAACCAGCCAAGUCGCGUGAGGGAUGAAGGUUCUAUGGAUCGUAAACCUCUUUUAUAAGGGAGUAAAGUGUGGGACGUGUCCUAUUUUGUAUGUACCUUAUGAAUAAGGAUCGGCUAACUCCGUGCCAGCAGCCGCGGUAAUACGGAGGAUCCGAGCGUUAUCCGGAUUUAUUGUGGUUAAAGGGUGCGUUGGCGGCUAUUUAAGGCAGCGGUGAAAGUCUGUGGCUCAACCAUAGAAUUGCCGUUGAAACUGGGGGGCUUGAGUGUGUUUGAGGAAGGCGGAAUGCGUGGUGUAGCGGUGAAAUGCUUAGAGAUCACGAAGAACCCCGAUGGCGAAGGCAGCCUG
This 393-nucleotide ribosomal RNA is filed under the name uncultured bacterium. RNAcentral describes it as "partial 16S ribosomal RNA". It matches the Rfam family "Bacterial small subunit ribosomal RNA", at positions 338 to 728 of the family's 1533-position model. The record is from RNAcentral.